GCAUUAGUGGUUCAAUGGUAGAACUCUCCCAUUCCAUGCAGGAGUCUUGAGUUCGAUUCUCAGCCAAUGCA
RNAcentral lists this transfer RNA (71 nucleotides) under Loxodonta africana (African savanna elephant). It matches the Rfam family "tRNA". From Rfam's summary of the family: Transfer RNA (tRNA) molecules are approximately 80 nucleotides in length. Lineage: Eukaryota; Metazoa; Chordata; Mammalia; Proboscidea; Elephantidae. The record is from Rfam by way of RNAcentral.